RNAcentral lists this ribosomal RNA (143 nucleotides) under uncultured eukaryote. RNAcentral's name for it is "partial small subunit ribosomal RNA". It matches the Rfam family "Bacterial small subunit ribosomal RNA", at positions 1383 to 1525 of the family's 1533-position model. The record is from RNAcentral.
GUACACACCGCCCGUCACACCAUGGAAGUGGGUUGCACCAGAAGUAGCUAGUCUAACCGCAAGGGGGACGGUUACCACGGUGUGAUUCAUGACUGGGGUGAAGUCGUAACAAGGUAGCCGUAGGUGAACCUGCAGAAGGAUCA